GAACGCUAGCGGCAGGCUUAACACAUGCAAGUCGAGGGGUAUUCUAGCAAUAGGAGAGACCGGCGCACGGGUGCGUAACGCGUAUGCAAUCUACCUUUCACAAAGGAAUAGCCCAGAGAAAUUUGGAUUAAUGCCUUAUAGUAUAGUACCUUGGCAUCAAGGAACUAUUAAAGAUUUAUCGGUGAAAGAUGAGCAUGCGUCCCAUUAGCUAGUUGGUAAGGUAACGGCUUACCAAGGCUACGAUGGGUAGGGGUCCUGAGAGGGAGAUCCCCCACACUGGUACUGAGACACGGACCAGACUCCUACGGGAGGCAGCAGUGAGGAAUAUUGGUCAAUGGGCGCAAGCCUGAACCAGCCAUGCCGCGUGCAGGAUGACGGU
This 379-nucleotide ribosomal RNA is filed under the name uncultured bacterium. Its description in RNAcentral is "bacterial SSU rRNA". It matches the Rfam family "Bacterial small subunit ribosomal RNA", at positions 31 to 415 of the family's 1533-position model. The record is from RNAcentral.